Molecule: long non-coding RNA, 533 nt
Organism: Solanum dulcamara
Lineage: Eukaryota; Viridiplantae; Streptophyta; Magnoliopsida; Solanales; Solanaceae
Exons: 3
Source: RefSeq, a predicted model, not a curated record
AAUUCAAGACUAACAAAACGAAAUUACAAGAGAAAGAAAGAAGAGAAGAGAAGAGAAAUUAAGGUAGAAAGAAGGAAAGAGCUACGAUUUUGGGAGGAGAAAAAGGUAAGUUCUCCGAUUCCGUUCCAAGAAUUAAUUAUAUGAGCUAUACCAUGAUGUUAUGAAGAUGUUAGUAAUGAAAUUUUAUGGUUUGAGGCAGCCCAAAACAUUACCAAACAGUCCAUAAGUUUCAGCUGCGCUAAAGGAAAUUCCGAGGCAAGUUUUGGCGAGUUUUGGUGAAUUUCGGGAAAGGUUCAAGAGACGACGAGGCGAGCAUAGUUAAGAGUAAUCCGUAAGAGGUACAGACGAUUGGUUUGCUGAUCCGCUCGCUUAGGACAUCCACCAUGUUGGUCGACAGUGCUCCUUUGUCCGGAGCCCUAUUUUGGUACUGACACUUUCUGUUGUAUAUAUAUAUACGUUGUUCAGGGGUACGGCGGGGCCCUGUCCCGUUAUAUGAAUAGGAUAUCAUUCUGUAGAGGUCUGUAGACAUGAUA